RNAcentral lists this ribosomal RNA (2052 nucleotides) under Triticum aestivum (bread wheat). Its description in RNAcentral is "partial small subunit ribosomal RNA". The record is from RNAcentral. Lineage: Eukaryota; Viridiplantae; Streptophyta; Magnoliopsida; Poales; Poaceae.
AUGACUGGCAAUCAUGGUGGGCGUAGAAGAAAGGCGCCACAACAGGGCCGUCCAGCACGCGACGAUGCCGUGGACAUAUCACAAAGCAACUCCGAUGGACAAGAUGGCGCCGAGGGGUCACAGCCCAAGAGGCGCCUGCAGAGGCUCACCCCCCAGCAAACCCAAGUGCUUGAAGGGUUUUUCGGCAUAUGUGCGCACCCUGACGAGAAUCAAAGGAUGGGGAUGAGCGAGUCGACAGGUCUUACGAUGCAGCAAGUCAAGUUUUGGUUUCAGAACAAGAGGACACAUAUGAAGCAUGUGACUGGAAAAGAAGAGACCUACAGGAUGAAAGCGCAGAAUGAGAUGCUGAGGGAGGAAAACAAGAGGCUUGCAUCGGCAGCUAACACUUCAUUUUGCCCCUCCUGCGUUGCUUUACCAGGACUGAAUCCCUCUGGGGAGGUGCAGACGCUAAGGCAGGAAAAUGAGCAACUGAAGCAACAGCUUUCGCAGCUGCGUGCUGAAGCGCAUCCAAGUUCAAGCCGUCCUUUUCAACUUGACCCAUCCACAGAGAAUAUCACUGGAAGAGAGAAUGACAUGGAUGCGAUUGCUGAACUCGCUCAAAGUGCAAUGCACGAGUUUGUGGUUCUGUCCGAAGCCGGUGGACCUCUGUGGAUGCCUGUCCCUGGUGGUUCCUUCGACGUGCUGAACAAUAUGGCUUAUGCUCAAACAUUUGGCGCAAGAAGCAGUGCAAAUGUAAUACUAGGAUUCAUGACCGAGGCUACUCGUGCUGAUGACAUGGUCAUGAUGGACGCCAAACGGAUUGUGGACUAUAUCAUGGAUUCUGAGUGCUACACAUCUUUCUGUCCUGGACUUGUGACCAGUGCAAAUACCACCAAGGUUUACAAGUGGCCUACUAGUGCAGGCUACAAUGGGGCUAUGCAUUUGGUGACCGUCGAGACGGUGUUCGCAUCACCACUGGUGCCAUCUAGGAAAUGCACAUUCGUGAGGUGCUGCAGGGAUAUGCAAAAUGGGACAGUGAUCAUCGUUGACGUGUCUUUGGACAACGGUGACGGCACCGUCAAAUGCCACAAAAUGCCAUCAGGAGUACUGGUUCGGAGCCUGAAUUCCGACGCCAGCCAGGUCACUGUCAUAGAGCAUGUCCAAGUGAAUGAUACUGGUCUUCACGAGCUCUACCGCCCAACCUUGAGCGGACUGAUGUUCGGAGCUAGGCGCUGGGUGUCGAGCAUCGUGCGACAGAGCGCACGCCUGAGAGACCUCUUCAUUGUCAGCAAAAGCGCCUCGAACGGCAACACAAAUGGGAGGAAGACCCUCAUGAAGAUAGCGGACGGCCUGCUCGCGGACUACGCCAGCGGCAUCGCCGCGGUCCCUGGGAGCGGAUGGACCAUUCUGCGUGGCGCCGGCACGGAAGACGACAUCAGGAUCACGUACAGGAAGAACAACGACGACAGCAACAACGCCGUCGUGUCGGUGUGCGCGUCGUUCCAUCUGCCGGUGCCGCUCAAGGUGACGUUUGAUCUGCUCAGGAACAACCUGUUACGCCCAAAGUGGGAUGUGCUGGUGAACGGUAAUUCGGUGAGGGAGGAAGUCGCUGUUUGCAAAGGCGUAGCAGCAGGAAUUGAUGAUGUUGUCUCCAUACUGCAUCUCAAGGAUCCGCCCACCGGGGAGAACAGGGACAACAUCAUGAUCCUCCAGAACAGCGGCUACGACGUGUCGGGCGCGUUCAUGGUCUACUGCCCAGUCAACAUCCAACUGAUGAACGAGAUCAUGAUCCCUAGCGACACAGCGCAGAGCAACAAGGUGUCCCUCUACCCCACCGGCUUCCACCUCCUCCCCGUCGAGGACACUGCCCUUGGCCUCGGCGAGGGUGGAGCAACUCUUGUGACCGUGGGGUUCCAGAUUAUGCUCAAGCUCGCUCGUGGCACCGGCCUGUAUCCUAGGUCCGCGUCCACGGCCGUCGGUCUGAUGGCAGAAAACAUUGCUACCAUCAAGAAGACUCUGACCAACAGCCACCCCAUCUUCUAUAGGAGGCAGCCCCCCAACAAUCUCAUCUAG